Molecule: ribosomal RNA, 381 nt
Filed under: uncultured marine Chaetocerotaceae
Lineage: Eukaryota; Bacillariophyta; Thalassiosirophyceae; Chaetocerotales; Chaetocerotaceae
Description: SSU rRNA
Rfam family: Eukaryotic small subunit ribosomal RNA
Source: RNAcentral
AGCUCCAAUAGCGUAUAUUAAAGUUGCUGCAGUUAAAAAGCUCGUAGUUGCAUUUCCGAGGCAAGGGAUUAGUCCGACCUUUGGUGGGUAUUUAAUCCUCUUGCCUCGUCCUUGAGUGGUGCUUCUUGGUAUUAAGUUAUCGAGGAGAUAGCCGCUCAUCGUUUACUGUGAGAAAAUUAGAGUGUUCAAAGCAGGCUUAUGCCGUUGAAUAUAUUAGCAUGGAAUAAUAAGAUAGGACCUCGGUCCUAUUUGGUUGGUUUGAGAACCAAGGUAAUGAUGAAUAGGGACAGUUGGGGGUAUUCGUAUUCAGUUGUCAGAGGUGAAAUUCUUAGAUUUACGGAAGACGAACUACUGCGAAAGCAUUUACCAAGGAUGUUUUCA